UGAGAAACGAGCACUUUUCAGUGCUUUUUGAGCUAGUGUGAUUAGCUAUGAGGAGACGCCGGUGAAUCAUUUUUUGUUUCUCGCCUUUCAUCCAUGACUUCGUCUCAUAAAACCGAGAGUGACAUCGUGCGCUUUGCGCUCGCAGGAACAUCCAACAUGUCUGCAGCUUGCAUUACGAAUCCUAUAGACGUGAUCAAAAUUAGACUGCAACUAGACAAUGAGCUGAAGAAAACCAAGGGCACAAUUGUGCCAGGAAGAGAUGACAAGCGCUACUAUAAAGGGAUGCUCCGUGGCUUGAGGUCCAUUCUCAGAGAUGAAGGAAUUCGUGGAUUUUACAAGGGUCUACCGGCUUCUCUAAUGCGGGAGAGUAGCUACAGUACAAUCAGACUGGGUGCAUAUGAGCCCAUAAAGAGACUGCUGGGAGCCACUGACCCUGCACACACCCCUCUCUGGAAGAAGAUAUGCGCAGGCGCGACUUCAGGUGCAAUAGGAAGCUCGAUAGCCACUCCAACAGAUCUAGUGAAAGUGAGAAUGCAGGCAUGUACGAGUAGCAGUAAAGGGGGCACUACUAGUAGUAGUAGUACAGCUCUUCAUCAGAAACCCGUGUACGAGAGCACUCUAGGUGCAUUCACUAGUAUAUACAGAGAAGCAGGGUUGAAAGGACUGUAUAGAGGAGUGGGACCAACUGUAAUGAGAGCUACCAUUCUCACUGCUACACAGAUCCCGACUUAUGACCACGUGAAGCACACUCUGUUGAAUUGGGGCUGGUUCCGAGGGGAGGGCCUGGACUUGCACAUUACUGCUUCUAUGAUGGCGGGACUGGCAUCCGCUGCCACAACCUCCCCUGUAGACGUCGUCAAAACAAGAUACAUGCGACAGAUACAGCACAGUGGAGUGUACACUUCUAGUUUGGACUGUGUGAUGAAGAGUUUUUCUGCUGAAGGUGUUUUGGGACUCUACAAGGGCUUCAUCCCCAACUGGAUGCGCAUUGGACCUCAUACCAUAGUAACCUUCCUCAUUUUCGAACAGUUGCGAAGUAUAGUUGGAAUGCGACCAGUCUAGCAAACUUGCUUGAAAAGUGACAUCUAUCUGCUAUCCCUGUCCACGGACCAAUUUUAAUUGCUAUUUUGAAACAUACUGAUAAUCUGAUGGGGUGGGCGAUAUGACUCUGUGGAUGAUGAGGCAUACUGAGACGCACUACGGCGGCAUUUGCACUAAAAAACAGUUUUCUAAUAAAAAUCUAGUCAUAAAUUGUUUUAGUAAUAUGUUUGAGAUUUGAGCUUUUGAAACUUACUGAUAAUCUGAUGGGGUUGGCGAUAUGACUCUAUGGUUGAUGCGGCAUAUACUGAGACGCACUACGGCGGCAUUUGCACUAAAAACAGUUUUCUUAAAAAAUGUAGUCAUAAAUUCUUUUAGUAAUGUAUUUGAGAUUUGAGCUUUUGAAACUUACUGAUAAUCUGAUGGGGUAGGCGAUAUGACUCUAUGGCUGAUGAGGCAUAUACUGAGACGCACUGCGCGGUAUUUGCACUAAAAAUAGUUUUCUAAUAAACUAGUCGUAAACCAUUUUAGUUAUAUAGUUUGAAGUUUGAGAUUUUGAAACAUACUGAUAAUCUGAUGGGGUAAGCGAUAUGACUCUAUGGUUGAUGCGGCAUAUACUGAGACGCACUACGGCGGCAUUUGCACUUAAAACAGUUUUCUUAAAAAAUCUAGUCAUAAAUUCUUUUAGUAAUGUAUUUGAGAUUUGAGCUUUUGAAACUUACUGAUAAUCUGAUGGGGUAGGCGAUAUGACUCUAUGGUUGAUGCGGCAUAUACUGAGACGCACUACGGCGGCAUUUGCACUAAAAACAGUUUUCUUAAAAAAUGUAGUCAUAAAUUCUUUUAGUAAUGUAUUUGAGAUUUGAGCUUUUGAAACUUACUGAUAAUCUGAUGGGGUAGGCGAUAUGACUCUAUGGCUGAUGAGGCAUAUACUGAGACGCAGGCGGCAUUUGCACUAAAAACAGUUGUCUAAUAAACUAGUCAUAAACCGUUUUAAUAAUUUAUUUUGAGAUUUUGAACCUUCACGAUGAGUUUAAUGAGAUGCAAUUUUUUCCAGCUCACAGAAAUUUGUGAGAUACAGGUAGGAACGCACAAAGUGACUUUUUUCAAAUUAGGUUUGAAAAAAUCGAAAAAUCAAUCCUGCACAUCAUUUUUUCAAUAAAGUUAAGCAUUCUGCUCUACAAAACAAUGAUUUAGGAUGCUAAUCACGGUAACGUACAGACAAAAUUGGAGAGUUCUGAAUUUUUGCGGAGCGACUGAAACUUAGAUAAUGCAUUUCACUUGCGAAAAGUGACAAAUAUUCUUCUCAAGUAGAUGAAAAUACCUGCAAAUAUUGUAAAAUUAGUUUUAAAACAAACUCGUUUGUUUGUAGCAAUUGUCAGUAUUUUUAAAGUUUUGAAUAUUUUUUCAGUUUUUCAAUUUUUCCAUGCUUUCUUCUGUAGCUCUUGACAAAAAGUUGUUUCUCUAACAUUGACAAACACAUAUUUGCUAGUGUAAAAAAACCCGUGGAUUUCAGAAAGUAGCAUGGAUAUCUUGCAUUGAUUUUGCAAGAUUUCGACCAGAAAGCCAGGUUACAUGGAUAUUCUUUGAUCUUGGCUCAUAUUUAAUAACACUAUUACAUGAAGGAGGAUUGUAAGAUGUUUUUUCAGGAAAGUCUUCUCGCUCAAAUGUGAUUUUUGAUUUCUUUCUAGGUUCACUUCAAUUCCUUUGAUAUAAGAACGGCAAACUUCACUCUCGAACAGCAAAAGUGUUACGGUCACAAA
RNA transcript from Symsagittifera roscoffensis, 2798 nucleotides. It is a transcript of the gene named mitochondrial substrate carrier family protein ucpB-like, with no coding region annotated. The record is from RefSeq and is a predicted model, not a curated record. The transcript is spliced from 7 exons. NCBI's taxonomy places the organism in Eukaryota, Metazoa, Xenacoelomorpha, Acoela, Convolutidae.